Pelobates cultripes (western spadefoot toad) is the source of this 392-nucleotide non-coding RNA. The record is from the annotation of a GenBank genome assembly. NCBI's taxonomy places the organism in Eukaryota, Metazoa, Chordata, Amphibia, Anura, Pelobatidae.
GUAGAAAUCCCAGGACGCGUUUCACUACAGCGUGUAGUUUCCUCAGCUGGGUAGAAGAAAUUAAUGUGUAUCCCUGGUUCGCCGGUCCAAGUUUAAAUAGCUUGUUUAAUGAAAGAACAAAUGCCAGGUGUGCUCGUUACCUCUACGUAAUUACCACUGACAGAUAAAACGUAUGAGGUGCAAGCUUCGUACCGCAGACAUAGUAUGCGGGUCAAGCCUCCUUGGUAUGCAGUGACAUCACCGAUGUCUUCAAUAGGAAUGUUCGUAAAGGAAAAGUAACAGUCUUUGCAAUUUCGAUCUCUGCACAUACAAGGACUCGUCGUCAUGAAUAAAUGCAUGACAUAUGGAUAUACAAAAAAGAGAAAAGAAGUAUUACCAAUGGCUAAUAUUAC